GUAAGGUCCUGUCAAUCGCCAGGGGUGCCAACUGUUAAGUAUAAAAACGAUAGCCCUCAUUGAGUAGGUUUCUGAGGUAGGAGCUGUGCGGGAGGGGUGACAAGUGACGUAAGAGAACUGUCACGGGGUGACAAGUGACGUAAUAGAGCUAGCUGUCACGAGGUGACAUGUGACAUUAUAGAGCUGUCAAUAUACAUGUAUGACGUAACAACUACGUCGCUCUGCUACAGCCUAGAACCUACUAAGUUGAUCGCUACGCCUCACACAGGUGAAAUGUACGUAAUUUGUGGCCAAAAUUAAAAAAAGCAAAGUUACUCCGAUUCUAAAUCAGUAACCUAAUAUAGGAACAAGACAUAUGGCGCCAUCUAUAAAUGAUAUUUAAAAAGUUUAACACUUUUUAUCCAGAUACCCACAACAUUUGAUUUAAACAGUUUUUCUUGUUGAGUAAUUUAUUAUAAUUUUUAGCUCUUGUUUAACAACAACGUUUAACUUUUAUUUAGUUGAUAUUUGGUAUAAAACAUAUGGAUUCUAUACUUCCAGGUUAGUUUAUUAUUUCUGUAUUACUAAACAGUCUACAUUACUUACCAUGUUAUAGAUAUACAAUAUGUAACGGAAACACCGUCCGAUCCAUUAAGGUGUUAAUAGGUAUCGAGUUAAGAUUCCAUUUGUGUAAUAAUUUUCAUAAAAUAUUAUAAAAAAAAUACCCCAUGAAAAAUAAAUACAAAAUUUACAAAAAUAAAAUAGCUUACAUGGCAAUCCAAACGGCAGUGUAGAGGGUACGCGGGAGGGGUAGAGAUGCGCCGGCACGCGUAGCGACGUCAUAAGGUCAUGACCCCCAGCGUCUUAAAAAAAGCCGCGCGCCGACAGAGUGUUAACGCUUUUUGAAAAUUUCCCCGUUGUAGGGUAAAUCAUUGCUAAACUUAUUGACUUUAAAAAUCGAUAAAAAAAUUGUUUUUAUUAAUUACGUAAUUUUGAUACUUGUUUUGGUAAUGUUGUUAAAGCUACUUUAUGACCCUUUCGGAUCGGACGGUGUUUUUGUUACAUAUUGUAUAGUGAAUUUGAAAAGA
Long non-coding RNA from Ostrinia furnacalis (Asian corn borer), 1067 nucleotides. RefSeq lists it as uncharacterized. The record is from RefSeq and is a predicted model, not a curated record. NCBI's taxonomy places the organism in Eukaryota, Metazoa, Arthropoda, Insecta, Lepidoptera, Crambidae. The transcript has 3 exons.